CUACUGUUUCUUCCACAGAAACGACACAAACAACUGAACCUACAACUGCGGUCCCAACAACCCCCAAAACAACCCAGUCAGUUCUUUUAAGUUUUUCCAGCGAUGAAACUUUUGUGGAUGAUUUGUCAAAUAGAGCUUCAGCUGCAUAUAAAUCCAGAGAAAGCAGAGUCUUAAAUGAGUUGGAACCAUUAUUUAAAAAGAAUUUCCCCUCCUUCAAAAGUCUGGUAGUUAUUAAGUUCCGUCCAGGGUCAAUCAUCACUGACAUGAAGGUGACAUUUGGAGACCAAUUACCCAAUACCGGGGACAUAGAAAAUACUGUUUUGCAAGCCAAAGCCCCUCUUAAUAUCACCAGCGUAACA
This is a long non-coding RNA of Carassius carassius (crucian carp), 359 nucleotides long. RefSeq lists it as uncharacterized. The transcript has 3 exons. The record is from RefSeq and is a predicted model, not a curated record. NCBI's taxonomy places the organism in Eukaryota, Metazoa, Chordata, Actinopteri, Cypriniformes, Cyprinidae.